Molecule: long non-coding RNA, 1388 nt
Filed under: Mytilus galloprovincialis (Mediterranean mussel)
Lineage: Eukaryota; Metazoa; Mollusca; Bivalvia; Mytilida; Mytilidae
Source: RNAcentral
UUUAUUAUGCAUCUCAUGAUUAUGUGUUUUUUAUUUAUAUUCUGAAUAUUAUGAUCGAAUUCAUUAGGCGAUGACAAACUAUGAAAUGAAGAAGUCAAAACGACUAAAAAGUAAGUGUAAAUUGUACUAAUUAUAUAUCACAUAUAUGUGAAAGAGGCAUACAACCUGAUACAACUGCUUUAUUAUUUUGUAUAAGAAGCAUAACAGUUUGCAACUGACAAUCAGCUGCUGUAUUUGACCAUGAAACACUAGUGUUGUACCUAACGUAGCACCCCGUACUCGACUACGUUCCGAUAACUCAUUAAUGGUUUUGUUAAUGUAUAUAUUCGUGCUUCUGGAUACAAAUUUUCGAUUUACAUAAACAACUGCACAGGCAAUAUGUCAAAUUUAACAACCUUUUUUAUUAUACGAUUUUUUUUUAUCUACGAUAAUUCACUCAUAAGGGGUUGAAUGAUUUUAAGUACUGGGACCGAAUCCUUACCAUGGCAGGCAUAUGGUUAGGAAAUAAUCAUCACUUUUAUUUUCCUUUGAAGAAAAAUGUUAUAGUUUUAUUUACUAGUAGUUAUUCCAUUCUGCUUAUAAAUCUGCAGCACCUUCAAUAACAAAUUACCGAUGUUAAAAUUCUCAAAAAUGUAACAAGUCCCUUUUUAUAACUGUGAAAAAAAGUUAUGUUAUACCUUCAGUCACAGUUUCGAAGAAUACUCAAACUACUAAGUGAAAGACUAAAUCACGGAAGCAAAAUUAGCUGCGGAGAAAGAUACCAUAAAUCUGCCUGCUACUAUAAAUGAACCACCUGCGGUAAGAUUUAUUUCUUCAAAAUAACCUUUAUAUUAUGAAAAGUUCAUGUGGGAAUAUUGAAUAUUUUGGUAGGACUAUAACAGCUUGUCUUAAAUUUUACGAUUAAUAGUAUUAACAAGCAGAUCAGAAAAAUGUAUUAGAUUUCUUUUUACUUACUUUUUUGGGCAUUUUUACUUUUUUUUUAAUUUGAGCGUUACCAACGUACAUUACGUAACUGAUACGUAUUUUAUUGUCAAUGGUCUGAAACACAACAUGUGAACCCUGGUGUACAUGUAGAUGACGUGGUUGAUAUAUUUUGAGUUCUCACACUUAAUUAAGUUAUGUGUAUAUUAAUACUAUCCUCGACAGGUUAACAAAGUUAUCAAGUUCCAUCUAUUACAGCUUAGUCAUGAUACUAUUACAAUAUUUUUUAAUAAAACACACAUUGAAUUGAACUUAGAUUGCAUUACAAAAAGGGUAGCUAGCUUUACAGCACAACUAAAUGUUUAUCAUUAAACGAACAUGUAAUAUGCUUACUAUCAGAUUUUCCAAACAAUAAGAGUGUUAAGAUGUGACAUGGUAGUAAAGGCAAUAACUCUCCAUUAAAAACC